GACGAACCGAGCGAACGUUGUUCGGAAUCACUGGGCUUAAAGGGCGCGUAGGCGGGUUCGCAAGUCUGUGGUGAAAUCCUCCGGCUCAACCGGAGAACUGCCUCGGAUACUGCGGGUCUCGAGGGUGAUAGGGGUAUGCGGAACUAUCGGUGGAGCGGUGAAAUGCGUUGAUAUCGAUAGGAACUCCGGUGGCGAAGGCGGCAUACUGGAUCACUUUCUGACGCUGAGGCGCGAAAGCCAGGGGAGCAAACGGG
Molecule: ribosomal RNA, 254 nt
Filed under: uncultured bacterium
Lineage: Bacteria
Description: partial 16S ribosomal RNA
Rfam family: Bacterial small subunit ribosomal RNA
Source: RNAcentral